RNAcentral lists this ribosomal RNA (497 nucleotides) under uncultured bacterium. RNAcentral describes it as "partial 16S ribosomal RNA". It matches the Rfam family "Bacterial small subunit ribosomal RNA", at positions 28 to 507 of the family's 1533-position model. The record is from RNAcentral.
GACGAACGCUGGCGGCGUGCCUAAUACAUGCAAGUUGAGCGCUGAAGGUUGGUACUUGUACCAACUGGAUGAGCAGCGAACGGGUGAGUAACGCGUGGGGAAUCUGCCUUUGAGCGGGGGACAACAUUUGGAAACGAAUGCUAAUACCGCAUAAAAACUUUAAACACAAGUUUUAAGCUUGAAAGAUGCAAUUGCAUCACUCAAAGAUGAUCCCGCGUUGUAUUAGCUAGUUGGUGAGGUAAAGGCUCACCAAGGCGAUGAUACAUAGCCGACCUGAGAGGGUGAUCGGCCACAUUGGGACUGGGACACGGCCCAAACUCCUACGGGAGGCAGCAGUAGGGAAUCUUCGGCAAUGGACGAAAGUCUGACCGAGCAACGCCGCGUGAGUGAAGAAGGUUUUCGGAUCGUAAAACUCUGUUGGUAGAGAAGAACGUUGGUGAGAGUGGAAAGCUCAUCAAGUGACGGUAACUACCCAGAAAGGGACGGCUAACUACGUG